AAAGAUGAUGAUGUUUGAUGAGAUAGGAUUUUGUGGUGACGUGGAUUUCUUCUCUGUUGUGGCUAGUCCACAAAUUGAGCCAGAGCCUACUGUGGAGGAUGAUUACAAUGAUGAGGAAACUGUUUCUUUUGAGAGAUGGACACAAUAGUAAUUUUAUUUUUUUUAACCGCUAAACCAGCUAUUGCAAGUAAGCUUGACUUUUCUUGAAAUAAAACUUAAGUUGAGUGAUUUUAUUUUAAGAAACUGAAUUUUAGAGAUGAAAAUGAAAAGACCUCCUAAGUUGAGGGACGGUUGGUAUAAUUAAACCCCUUUCUUGUUUUAUUAUAUAAAGAGGCCCAAAGAUUGUGUUCCAAUAUUUUGUAAUGAAUCCUUAUUUUGAUUGGAAUCACCAUGAACAGAUUUCCAUAUUGAUCUAUGGAGCUCUAACAGUCUCUCAUUUUAUGGCCUUGAAACCCAUAAUAUGCUAUCCUAAGAGCCUUAAAUAACCUAAUGACAAAUCAAAUCACAGGUCAUUACUUGCAAAAGCCCGUAACCACUUUUUUCUGUAAUUUCUUCUAUAUUUUAUAGCUAAAUAUUUUCAAUAUUACGAAAUUAGUUUCAAAUUUCAAUUCAAUUUGUACCAAUUUUAUUUCUGUUUUUAUUCAAUUACAUUGCAUUUGUCUCUAAUCACUAAGAUCUUAACAAAUUCACACUCAAAUUAAAUCUAACAAAAAAUCUUGUUAAAAAAAAGCACAAAUUAAUUUGUAAUUCAGAUGAUAAGCAAGAAAAAGAGUUGUUUUCGACAUACCCUGAAACGAAAACACCAG
This 806-nucleotide unclassified non-coding RNA is filed under the name Hevea brasiliensis (rubber tree). Lineage: Eukaryota; Viridiplantae; Streptophyta; Magnoliopsida; Malpighiales; Euphorbiaceae. The record is from RNAcentral.